GGGAGGUUUGAUGUUGCCACACUUCAAUUCGAGGGCCACAAUGGUAGUAGUGGUUAAUGAAGGAAAGGGAAACUUUGAACUUGUGGGUCUAAGAAAUGAGGAAGAAGAGAAAAGCAAACAAGUGCAGAGGUAUAGAGCUAACCUGUCUCCAGGUGAUGUCUUUGUCAUUCCAGCAGGUCAUCCAGUUGCUGUAAAUGCUUCCUCAAAUCUCUCUUUGCUUGGGUUUGGUAUCAAUGCUCAGAACAACCAGAGAAACUUCCUUGCAGGUAUGGAUAAUUAAAUUAAAUUAAAUGUACUAUAAAUGGACAUAAACUCAUCGGGCGAGAAAAGGCUCACUUAGGGUACAUUUUUUUGUUGAUUGAAAAUUUGAAGGUGAGGACGAUAAUGUGAUAAGCCAAAUAGAAAGGCCGGUGAAAGAGCUUGCAUUUCCUGGUUCUGCUCAAGAGGUUGAUAGACUAAUAAAGAAUCAAAGACAAUCUCACUUUGCAAAUGCUCAAUCACAAGGAAGCCAAAGAAGGAGUCCUCUAUCUUCAAUUUUGGACACUUUUUACUGAGUAAUCAAUCAACUGAAAUAAUAUGCAUGUAUGAUGUAAGAGUUAGUUAGCUCAUAGUGAGCACAGGAUGAAUAAGGAGGAUCUUGUAACUAUAACAACUUGAGUUCUGCUCUUAUGCUAUGAAUAAAUACAUUAAGAAUAAAUUGUGUCUUCUUAAUCAGCUCUGUUCUACUAUGUUCCUUUUUGUAGUGAAUAAUGCUCUAUGCUAGUUAUAUCAAAAGUGUUCAAAACAAUAACUUGAAAUAGUAAGAGUGGAGUUCAGUUAUAUUUAUAGUAAAUAAAAAAAUGAAUACAAAACAAAAUAAUAGAAUGUACCUUUUAAUUAAUGUUGCUCUAGUUAUAACUAUCGACAAAUAUCACCUGGUAUAGCCUAAGUGGUAAGUGUUGCAAAUUUCAGAGUAAGAAAUUUAAUUUUUAUUCAUAAAAAAACAAGAAGAAACACAUGACUAUAAUGACACAAUUCAAUAGAUUGUAUAAUACAGCCUAAAUAGAUAUACAAUUUAAUUAACAAAAAUGGACUUACCCAAAUGCAUAACAUUCUAGAAACUCUACGACUUUCAUAAUUCUGAAAUGAAAUUACCAUAUUUAUGUGUUUAAAAAAUCACUUUGUUACAUGUGUAGCUUGCUAUAAAAGUUAUUUCAAUAUAAUUUUAAUUACAACUUGCAUAAUUCUCAAAUUAUUAUUGUACAUUUAGCAUUUAUUAUAAUAAAAAUACAUUUUUUUUUCUAUUCGUAAUGAAUAUUGUGAGAUGGAGGCCUGUAGUCUUUUUUUUUGUUCUUUCAAUUAAGGUAUAGUUUUUUUUAUCUUUGAAUGAUUACUUCACAAAGAUUUAAUUUGUUUUAAUUGCUACAAAGACAUAUUUAUAUCAUAUUUUUUUCUUGAAAAAAGAGUAAAUAUUGUUAGAGAAUCAUUGUUGAGUUCAACAAUUCAAAAAUUAGAAAAAUAAAAUUUAAAAUAGUAAUGUGAAAAAUUAUUAUAAAAUUAAAUUAUAAUGUAAUUUUAUAUAGUGUAUCAUAAUUUUUUCAAUUUAGAAAGAACAAUACAAUUCAGACAAAGAAAAGUACAAUGUAAUUAAUGAAAGAAAAUUAUAAAAAAUAGAAUACAAACCGUAACAACAAAAUUCAUACGUGUAUGAUUGUUGUCGAAGUCUUAACCUACUUCGAAUUAAUUUGAAAACCUUUUGCUAUCUUUAAUAUCCUUACUCCAAUAUAAAACUAAUAAAGAAAUGUGCAUGAUUGUUGUCGAAGUCUUGACCUACUUUGGAUUAAUUUGAAAAUCUUUUGCUAUCUUUAAUAUCCUUACUCCAAUAUAAAACUAAGAAUCUUUAUUUUAGAACUUCAAAUGUCAAAUGUGGUCAAUAAAACUUAACCAUCAUAGAAUGAAAAUAGAAAAAGAAUAAAAAAUGAUACAUUUUUUUACUACCAUACAUAGAAACACAAAGAGAAAGCUAAUAAUGACUAACAAUAGAGAAAUUAUAGUGAAAUAUGGCAUUUAAAAAAAUGACUAAUGAAUAAUGAACAUGUUAAAGAACCGCAUCAUAAAUCACAAAUAUUUUUAAUUUUGAAUUUUUAAAUAUUAUAGUAUCAAGUUGAGAAAGGAUGAAAAAUAACAAAUUCAAAAUAGGUCAAGACUUCACCGAUAAUUAUGCAUGUAUGAAUUUUGUUGUUACAAUCCGUAAGAUUAGAUAUAGACAUUAAAUUACUAAAAAGUAAAUAAAAAUGCCAAUUUUUCUAUUAAUUAAACUUAGUUAUCGCAGUCAUUAAAAUAGGUCCCAAAAUAUAGCCACGAUUAAUUUUUGGUUAGCCACAUUUUUUUUUAUUGUGGUAAUGCCUUAUUAGCAACGUUUAUAUUUUUUAACCACAUUUAAAUCCUAGCUAUCUUAAUUUAAAAAAAUUCAAAAUUUGUCAAAACUUAUUUAUCAUAUAUUAAAACAUCCUCACAAAUCAUUCUAUUGUCAUCUAAUUAUAAAUUUUGAUAUAUAGUUUUAUUUUUAUCAAAUCAAUUAUAUGUUUAUAUGUCACUCUAAGUUUGCACUUGUAGACAAGUUUUAUUUAUAGCUCUACUGUAUACUUGCUCAUUCAUUCAAUAUUCAUUCUCCUUCAAUUUUAUAAUCAAUUCAUAUCAAUAAUUAUAAUACCACAUUUAUUUAGCGAUGACUCACCCAAAAUAUUUGUCCUUCCUCCUGCCCUAUUUUUCAUUUUUAAAUACUUUUGUUCUUUCUAAAUAUGGAAUAGUUCAUAGUUGAUUAUUAUUCUUCAACCCUUCUAUUUAUUAUUAUGUCUCAAAAGUUAGGAAAUGGUAUUGUGUGCACUCCUCUCUAGUGGUCUUCAUCAUCCUUUCAUCCACUGCAAUUACUAUCAUCAAUGAUUAGAACAUAUAUUAUUUUUCUUAUUAAAUAUUUGAUUUCUUAUUUGUUGAUUUCUUAUUUGAACAUAUUAAGUAUUGUGGCAUGGACAAGAUCAAUAUCAUAUAUACUAACCUCAGUUUUUUCCAUUUCGUUUUCUUUGCGAAUUUUAACCUGGUUUGUUUCUUUACAAUUUAAAUUGGCAAUACUUGAAGAGCUGAUAAACAAUAUUUAACAUGCUUUUGAAGGAUAGUGUUACUCUUCUCCCUUCUGUAUGCGUUUUAAAAGGAGAGCCGAUAAACUUGAAUGUGUUGUUUUAUGAAGUUGUGGCAACUUCUCUCAACUGCUCAUUGUCGUCGCUGUCGUCAUUCCAAACCAUAAAAGGAGUGAUAUAUCAUCUUGACAAUGAGGGUUUUCAAGAAGAGAAAAACAAAGAGAUUCAUUACAUCGCAUAUUUGAGGUUAGGAUUUCUGUUUAAUAAUUGGACUUCAAAAAUCAUGUUUCUCAUAGGAUUUCGAUAAAGACGUGAUUAGUUGAUUUUCAGUGCAGGAAAUUUGAAGAUUUUGAUGUGAUUAGUUGAUUUCUCAUAGAAUUACGUUAAAUUUUGUUUAGAAUGAUUUUAUUUUGCUUUAAAUUCAUAUGUUUGCUUCAAUUCCUUUUUCACUCUAGGACUCUUGUGAAUCUUAGUAUACUUUUGAUCUUUUUUUUUUUUUUUGUUAUUGUGAAUUUUAAGUCAUGGUAUUGGCACUACUAGCAAAACUGUUUUUAGCUGCUAUACUUAGCGUCGGCCAUGACUCUAACGCUAGUUAGCGUCGGUCAUGUGGACGCUAGUUCACGAAAUAUUUUUGUGUUUUCAUUAAAUAUUAGCGUCGGUUUGGCCGACGCUAAAUAAAACAUGGCAGACGGUUAUUUAUUUUUUAGUUUAAAUCAUCCAUCUAGCGUCGGACAGUCGGACGCUACAUUUUCUAAUUUGUAAAGUUAAUUAGUUUUUUCAGUAAAUUUAUUUUAUGUUUAGGGUUUGCUCCUACACUCUAAAAGUAUUUCAGUUUCCUCCUAAACUCUUAGCCCCAAAUUUGCUGAACUUUUCAUUUUCAUCUUCCCCAAAAUCUCAACCAACCUUCAAUCUCCAUCUCAGUUUUAUUUCCCCCAAUUGGCAUUCCAUCUCAGGUUCCUUAAAAUCGCGCCUUCAUUCAUCUAGAUGCGAAAAAACUCCAAAAUUACUCAUCUUGCGAAAAACCCCAGAUCCCUAAAAUCACUUGAAGCCUUACGUGAUCAAAAAACUUGAAUUUGAAAUCAAAUCCUUGCAUAUUGCUUUGCACCUUGCUGCCGAACGAGGAGGAGGAAGGAGGUGCCGUGUAACGUCGGUGGCGAAGAGUCUCCGGUGAAAACGAGGAGGUGGAGGAGGCGCGCUUCACAUGGACGACACAAUUCCUGGAAGCUCCGACGAGUUCCUGAAACGUGUUUCCUCCCGUGCUUAUGACAUGCGCAGGAAUCUUCAUCAGUCUUUUGAUUCUAGUAGCUACGACGGUAUCUCAUCUUUCGUUUCAAUUUUUGUUACUUGUGAUUCUGAAAGAUUAAUCGAAUUUGAAUUGUCUAUCAAUUUUUCAUAAGUUAAUGCUUACAAUUUGAAUUUAAGCAUAAAAGUUAGUUGAAGUUUCUGCAAUUGUCAUAUGAUUUGAAUUUUCCAUAUGCAAUUUUUUUUUCUUCUGCAAUUGUCAAUUGUUACAUUUUUCUCUAAGUUUUUUGUCUGGGUGUUUGAAUGCAUAUUAGUUUAUUGGCUUGUCUAUUUAUGUUAGGAAUAAUAUAUCGGUUAGGAAUUCCGUGAACAAGCCUUAAUCUCAUCCUAAUCUAUAAAUAUUAAAGUUGGGAGCCACAAGCUAAGUGAUUCUUUUCGCAUUACUAUUUCUAUUGAAAUCCACAUGAAAAUGCAGGAAAUUUUUUCUCUACUUCAAGAGAACGAAACUUUGCUGAAAUUGAAUAAGAAGCUGAAUCAAGAAAAGGAAACCUUGUUGAAGAACAAGGAUUUGACAGAUACUCAAAUUGGAAAGUUAACUAAAUCCUUGGAGGCAAUGCAGAAAGAUAUCAGAGACAAAGAGAAUCAGGUAGUUCAUUUUUAGUAUAAAUGAUUCUAUCAAACAACAUUUGUAUUUAUGAAAGUUGUGAUAUACCAAUUUUAACUUUCAGGUGCUAGUUUUAAAACAGUCCUUGGAACACCAAAGAAAAGAGCUCAAUGAUUGCAGAGCUGAGAUCACUUCACUGAAAAUGCAUAUUGAAGGGUCUCUCUCAGGAAAUAAUCUGUCUAUCAGGGAAGUUACUAAUGUUCAAUCUCAAUCUAUAGAGAAAUAUGAGGAAGAAAUUAAGAAAUUGAAGGUGGAAAUUGAAUUGCUGAAGGAAAAGAAUGUCAGAGCUCCUGAACUUGGAAGUUUUGUUGGUUUUGCAAUGGAAAAUUUAGAGAGAUGAUAAAGUGAUCGAGAUUCACGAAGACCGAGGUACAAUUUCAAAUCCUAUUGAUGUGGCGGUUGGUGUUGUAAGCAAUCAAGAUGCUUAAUCAUCAGUUGUCCAACCUCUGAAUAGAAUGCAAAUAACCAUGAAGAUACAUUGCCUAGAUUAUUUAAUCCUGCAAAUACAAAUAGUGCUUCGGAAAAUAUUUCUGAUUUGCAUUAUCUGUUAUGUAGCACUUUUGAAAAAUAUAAAGAUGAAAAAUCUCUCCCCUUUGCAUGGAAAAAAAAUAUGAAUAGUCAAGAUGGUUAAAUGUUAGCUGAAUAUAUGUGUCAUUGUCCAUGUCAAAUUUAACUGUGAUAUUUUGUUCUUAUGUAUGUUUAUAUUUUGACAGGGAUUAGGAACAAUUCAGAUACUUGCAGAUGCUUUGUCUAAAAUUGUUCCUUAUGUCUUGAUCAACCACGUGAGGUUUGCUUUUCUAUAAAUAGUUGAAUAAAUAGUUGAUUCAAUGAAGUUUGAUUUUAGUGUUUUAUUAUUUGGAUGUUUAGAUUCUUCACUAGUUGCAUCUAUCUCUGUUUGAUACAUGGCUGACACAAAUGUGUUUUAAUCUCUGUAAGCGUAGUAGUUUUUGUUCACUCUACCUCAAAUAUUGAUUAACUUGGCCAAUUUGAAAACAUGUUGCAGAUUAGCAUUGGCUUUUCAGGAUAAACAUGCUAUUUGGAAUGCAUAUACACUCUUUUUAUGUCUCACCAGGUAUAUAUAAUAUCAUUUACCUAUUUAACUUCACAAAAUAUGUUAUUUCGACACAAACACCAUAGUUAUAAAAAUCGUAUAAUAAAGAAGUGAAAGUGUUAUAGUCAAAUUUGUGUGUCAAAUUGUAUAACUAGAUAUUUUAGAAGCCUUAAUUGUGUCAAAUUUGAUGCUCUUCCUAAUCUGGAACAGUAAGUUGUAGCACUAGUUGUAUAAGACUAUUCAACUAUGAAUGAUAUUCCCAUUAAUUGAUCUAUUCAUUUUAUAAUUCAUUUAGUUAAUUAAGUUUAAAAAUGAGUUUGAUCUCCAUUUUGUUUAUAAUAAUUAAAUUAAAUGUUGGUUCUAAACGUUAGGUUCAUUUACUGCUCUUCUGCUGGUGUCUAUCUCAAAUCUGAUAUAUUACCUCAUGUUGAGGUUAGAUUACAUUUUUACUUUUCAAUAUUAUGGGUCUUGCCACGAUGCACUGAGACUUCUAAUCAUCCAUAUUCUUUUGUUUUACUAGAAAAUAUGUUCUAACCAUCCAUAUUAUUUUGUUAUACACAAAGUUGUUGUUGUUUAGAUAGUUAUUAUAUACACAUGUUGGUAGAUUGAUGCAGUUGACCCUAAGAGCAGACACAAGGGAAAGCUUGAAACAUAAAGCUUAUUGCAAUCAAAGGAUGUUCUUUGUUGUUUAGCUUGCAAUUGUUGAAGGUAGCGUCGGCCCGACCGACGCUGUAUUAUAAAUGUAUUAGUUGAUUGUAGCGUCGGUCUACCCAAGGCCGACGCACAAGAUUUUUUAAACUAACGUCGAAUGUUUUAUUUUGCUGGUAGCGUCGGCUUAGAGUGCGUUGGAUGGUAAUUGACCGAUGCUAUAAAUUAGCUUUGCCUGUUUUAGCCUAGGCCCGACACCGACGCUAGUCAGACGUUAAAUCAACGUUAGCGUCGACUUUUGGCUACGUUAAUAUCAGUUUUUCUAGUAGUGUAGGAAUCUAUUUUCUUUUGGUUAAGGGAACAAGCUUUUGUUGUUAUUGAUUAAUUAGAAGUAUCUAAUUAAUCACAUAAUCCUACUAUAUAAUAUAAUUGAAUUAAAUAUAGAGAAUCCUAUUGCAUCCUAAUGUAAUUAAGCAAUCAUCUAAAACUUAACUACUUUCAUUCAUUGGUUAUUGUAUAGUUUUUUGGAUCAUAAAAAAAUUGUUAGUUUAUAUGUUAUACGGAGGAUUUUUGUGAAAUAUUCUAACAUACUUGCUAAUAUGUGUCCAUUGCAUCAGUUGUUGCUUGCAAAUUAGCCAUGCUUCAUAAUUUUGUAUGUCAAACUAAGUAAAUAUUCACUACUUUCAUUUAUGUAUCAUAAAUUUUUUAAAAUCAAAUAGUUGAAUUUAACUUCAAAUAUGAAAGGGGAUAAUAUAAAAAUUAUUAUACUUUGACUUGGAUUUAUGUCUUAAGAAAGUAGGAUAUCACUUGUUACAUAUGUGAUAUGUUUCUUUGUUUUUUAUGAGAGCACAUGUGAAAUUUUAUAUAUUGAAUGAUUGUUCUUAUGUUCUUUUGUUGCACAAAUGAUAUUAUGAUCGGGUGGCUCUCAUUGGUUGAUAUUAUGAUUGGGUGGCUCUCAUUAAUUGUCCACUUUUUAUUAGUUAAAAGUAACGUCGGUGAAGCCGACGCUACUAAUUUUGUUGAUUUUGAUUUUAGCGUCGGCCGCUGCGACGCAAAGGAAUUUUUCAGAUGAUAUAUAAUUUAGCAUCGAGUGUUCUAUUUUGCUAGUAGCAUCGGCUUUGAGUAGAUCAAGCCGACGCUAUAGUAGCGUCGGCUUCGAGUAGAUCUAACCGACGCUAUAGUAGCGUCAGAUGGUAUUUGGCUGACGCCACAUAUUAGCUUCGAUCGUUUUAGUCUAGUUCCGACACCGACGCUAAGUGGACGCUAAAUCAGAGUUAGCGUCUGCUUUUAGCCUAUUAGCAUGGGCUUUUGACCGACGCUAAAAUCAGAUUUUCUAGUGGUAUUAUCUAGAUUUCUUUUCUUUUCUCUUUAUCUAGAUUAAAACAUUUAUUGUUACAUGGAGAUUAGGAAUUUGGUGUUUUUAGUUCUAAUAUAUUAUCUAUAACAUAAUUAAAAAUAUAAUCGUCCAAUCUUCAAUUUACGUCUAAGAAUUACACUAAGCUAGUAAAAAAGAUUGACCUCAUUUAAUUCAUUAUAUAAACUACUUUUUUCAAUUUAAUAGAUCGGUAAUAUUUUGUAUUUUAUAAAUUUCAUUGAAUUAAUUGAAUAUUUAUAAAGUUUUUUUUUUUACCUUCUUUAUUUUUCUCGAUAUUAUAGUUUUGAAUUUGAAGAACUAAAGAUAAUGUCAUUAGUUGUAAGAUUUGAAUUUGUUUAAGUUUAUUGUACAAAAAUAUUUCUAACUUCUUUUAAAUACUAAUUUACACUAAAAUGGUUAAUUGUAUACUAAAGUGUAAUCAAAUUCUUUUAAAUAUCAUUAAACACUAAAAUAAUUAAUUUGUAUGUGGUAUAAUUCAUACAAAAUGAUAAAUAUUUUAUUUUUACUAACAAUGGUCUUAUAUUAAUAUUAUAUCAUAUUAAAAUACAUUCUUUUAAAAUUGAAUAUUGUUACUACCUUAUUAUGUGUCAAUUACUUGAUUUUCCAAGAGUAUAUUUGUAGGAAGGAAUUGAAACUUCUAGAGGAUUAAAAGUUUUAAGCAAUUCAAAAUGUUUCAAUUGCAUUUUCUUCAUUAAUAAAUUGUGUUGUUUGGAUAGAACCAUUGUUUAUUUAAAUUUUGUCAUAUUUAUAAAUUUAAAAAGUGUUUGGGCAAAAAUAAAAAUUGAAAAAGGUAAUUUUUUUUGAAAUUUUGUAGGGAUAUAUUUGAGAUUCACAUUGUAUGAAGUUAAAAAGAAAUUUCAAAUUCUUACCUUUAAGAUAGUAUUUUAAAUUCUUUCAAUUUGUUUUUGAUAAAAUCUUUUUAUUUUAAAAAUUCAUCGAAUUUAUCAUCCAAAAAUAACAUUUAUAUAAAAGAAUUUGAAUUACGAUACAAAACACACUCUAAAAUUAUUUUUUAUAUACUUAAUUUCAAAUAUUUUGUAAAAAUAAUUUGUAAAGUUAUAUGUUUACGGCUGAUUCUUGUUAAAUGACAAUUCUUUUUUGUUAAAAAAAAGGUGUGUGCCUCAACUAAAUGAAAGCACCUUCGUAAUAUUUUGCAAUUAGUUUCACCCGUGAUAGCAAAGUAUUUCAUUAUGCGCGUUUACGUCUAUAUUUCUACAUUCUAUUUGAAUUCAGGAAGUUCCAAAGUCCUAUGUAGGUUUGGUAUGAUGCAUCUUGUCUUCACGAACAUUAAUGGGACAACCAUGCGCAUUAAGAAAAUUGUAUGCAAUAUCUGCACCCUUCAUGGAUGAAUCAUUAAUGGGACAACCACAUGAAGAAAAUAAAUUAUGUAAAAUGUGUUGUUUCUUCGAAUCAACUAUGGUAUCGAGGCUAUUCUGGAUAUCGAAGGGACAUAAUGAAAGAGAGAGUAGUGGCUUCGAAAUGCGUCGAACAGAGGAGGAAUAAAUAAGAUUGACCUAAGGCACAUAGAAGCCUAAGGCGAAUUAAAAUAUGAAACCUUUUAAAACUUAUAAUAGUAUUUUAGUAAAAUUAAUUAAAAAUAUUAUGAAAAACUAUUUGUAGGACAUUUUAAAAUUAAAAAAAAAAACAUUUAUUGAAUUAAUAUAAUGUACUACAUUACCGAAGCCCUAGUCAAAAUUUUCUGCUUAAAAUCUAUAUCCCAGACAGAUUUUUCUGCUGUUGGUGCAUGUUGGGCCAUUCCUAAAUUAUGAGAUGUUCAUCCUACACUUUGUUAAGGACAUAAGUCAAACAUACGAAACCAAACUCUACAUAGAAGAGUGGAUAAGUUUGAGAGAGAAAGUCUUGAGUUCCUCUGAAAAUUUCAGAGUGGUCAAAUUAGAAAAAUACAAAUAUGGUAGAUGUAAUUUUUGAAACUUCAUGGGGUGCAAGUGCACACUCUCUCACCGCUAUCUAGGCCUGCCCUAAAGUUAACACAUUUUGAUGUUUCUGCUUUACACAGUUACUUUUGUUAAUUCAAUUGGUUUUUGAUUGUAUCUAUAUUGUUAGAUCUAUACUAAUCUAAUCAUUUAUCUUAUAUUUUGUAAUAACUAUGUUAGUUUCUGUGUGUAAUUUGUAAGUGGACUUGUGCAAUUGUAGAUGAUUUUGUCUUUAGUUUGAAUAAGAUGUAGGAGAAAAGGGAUAGUACAAAUGAGUCUUCAAGUAUCUUCUUUUUUUAACACAACAGUCAUUUAUCUAGUGACUUCAAUUCAAGUAGUUCAAGGCAGUGGAAAUUAGCCAUGCCAAAUAUAAGCAUUUUUAAAAAUGACAUUAUUGAUCCCAAAAAAAAGACAUUAUUAUGAUCAAAAACACUGAAAUUCAUUAUUCUAGAGUGUAAAAUAUGAAGUUGUUGGCCAAAUAAAAUGAGAUGAUUUCAAGGAACGUAAAACUCACUAAGUGCAGCCUAAUGUUGGAUGUAACAAAACUUCUGCAACUUUACAUAUAACUUAGAAAACAUGGCAAUCUUUAAGCCUAAUGGGAAUGUUCAAAUUAAGUAUUGCUUAUAAAAUCUGAAGAAAUACAGAGGAUGUAUCAAAUCCGGAUGCAGAGAAAAUAUGAUAUCGUAUAAGCUCAAAGCAAGUUAUCAUAAUAAGAUUGAAUUGAAUUGUAUCAAAAACAAGAAACGAAUCGUCUAAAAACAUCGUUGUGUCGAAUGUCAAGUAUUUAUUGUUGUAGUCAGAAAUCAUCGAAAACUAUUCUCUUAUGUUUUUGUUUCACAUAGAAAGUUUACAGAUGUCAUUAAUGACUUAACAAUACAAUUCAAUACACAUCAUCAAUUUCUAUGCAAUUUAAUACAUAUUGUGGUUUAUGGACUAAACUGUUGCGGUUUAUUUCUUUUUCAUAAACUAAAAAUGAUCUUUUUUCGUCAGAUAUUAAUAUGUCUCAUACUCCAAAAGUAUCAUUUCAAAAAUAAUGUCUAGGUUCAUCAAUUUCAUGAUAUUCAAACAAAACUUGACUACUAGUUCAAGAGAUCAAGAUCGCCGCAUCCAUAUGCAUCCAAAAUGUUGGGACCCCAAAGACCAUGCGGUACAACACGUACAUAGCAGUCUUAUUUUUUUCUUUUGCCACCUCAAUUUUGUUCAUUUCAACAUUCGUCAAUUUGCAUGGCACCCUGUGGCCAAAUGUAUAUGUACAUUACUCAUAUAGCUUUUAUGUUCUAUAACUAUAAAUAUCCCUCAUCUCAUUCCAUAACUCAUCCUAAAAAUUGAGCUAGUGAACUACAAGUGAUGGCUACCACAACCAAAACACGAUUUCCACUUUUGUUAUUGCUUGGAAUUAUAUUCCUAGCCUCAGUUUGUGUCUCUUAUGGCAUUGUCCAAUAUGAACAGGGGAACCCCUGUCUUAAGAAGUGCAUGCAGCGAUACAACAAAGUGAAUGAAGCAUUUAAACGCCGUGAGGAGGAAGAAUAUGAAGAACGUUCAGAACAUAGUGUACCUGGACAAAGAGAACGAGGUCGCCAAGAGGGUGAGAAGGAGGAAGAGCAUCGGGAACAACGGAGAUCUCGACGUGAAAGUGAAAGGGAAAGGGAAGAAGAUGAGCAAAAACAGCGUCAUCCUCACCAUGAAAGAGAGGAAGAGGAGGACGAAGAGUUUAGAGAACGGCGUCAUCGUGGAGAUACAGAAGAGACGAGGUUCAGGCGAAGAAAGGAGAGGAGGCAAGAGCAACAAGAAAAAAAGAGUGAGAGUAAAGAAGAUGAAGAAGAAAGUUCUUCAGAGUCACAAGGACGGAGGAACCCCUUUUUCUUUAGGUCUAACAAAUUCCAAACUAUAUUCGAGAACCAACACGGUCACAUUCGUCUUCUUCAAAAUUUCGACAAACGUUCUAACUUAUUUCAAAAUCUUCAAAACUACCGCUUUUUGGAGUAUAAGGCCAGACCUCACACACUUCUACUCCCCCAACACAUAGAUGCUGACUUCAUCCUUGUAGUUCUUAGCGGUAAUUAUACUAUAAAAAAAUCAACUAGUAGAAGUGUAAUUUUUCUUUCAUUUUACAUAAAACAAUCAAAUUGUUGAUUACUGAAUAUUGCAGGGAAAGCCAUACUUACUGUGUUGAACCCCAACGACAGAAACUCGUUCAACCUUGAACGUGGCGAUACUAUCAAACUCCCUGCAGGCACCACUGCUUAUUUAGCUAACCAUGACGAUGAGGAGGAUCUGAGAGUAGUAGAACUCGCCAUACCUGUUAACAGACCUGGUAAAUUUCAGGUAAUAUAUAUAACUCUAACAUAACACUUUUUCCACUCUCUUCACCAUUACAAUUUCCACCACUCACUAAUGUUAUUUCCUGCAGUCUUUCUUCCCAUCUAGCAAUCAAAACCAACAAUCCUACUUCAAUGGGUUCAGCAAGAGUAUUCUAGAGGCAUCCUUCAAUGUAAGCAUCCUAGCAACAUGUGUGUGUAAAUUGUCGUUAAUUAUUUUAUAUGUAAUAGUUGUAAUUUGUGUCCUUGUUUAUAUGGUUGAAAAAAUAGACAAAAUAUGAGACCAUAGAGAGGGUUCUCUUAGAAGAGCAAGAGCCAGAACAAAGCAGAGGACGUAGGGGAAGUGAAGAAAGCGAAGAAGGAGAUGCAAUUGUUAAAGUGUCAAGGGAACAAAUUGAGGAACUAAGUAAACAUGCCAAAUCAAGCUCAAGGAAAAGCAUAUCCUCAGAAUCGGAACCAUUUAACUUGAGAAGUCGAAACCCCAUUUAUUCCAACAAAUUUGGCAAAUUCUUUGAGAUUACUCCAGAGAAAAGCCCACAACUUCAAGACUUGAAUAUAUUUGUCAGUUGCGUGGAGAUUAAUGAGGUACUCAAACAAACAUAUUAACACAACUAAAUUGGACAAUAAAUUUUAUUUGUCCACAUUCUUCUUAAUUAGAUUAUUACCAAAAAUAUGUUAUUAAACUUUUGUCCAAAAUUUUAGGGAGGUUUGAUGUUGCCACACUUCAAUUCAAGGGCCAUAGUUGUUCUAUUUAUUAAUGAAGGAAAAGGACACCUUGAACUUGUUGGUCUAAGAAAUGAGCAACAAGAACAACAACAAGAGGAAGACGAGGAGCAAGAAGAAGAAGAGAGAAACAACCAAGUGCAGAGGUUUAGAGCCAGGUUGUCUCCAGGUGAUGUUUUCAUCAUUCCAGCAGGUCAUCCAGUUGCUGUAAAUGCUUCCUCAGAUCUCAACUUUGUAGGGUUUGGUAUCAAUGCUGAGAACAAUCAGAGAAACUUCCUUGCAGGU
RNAcentral lists this long non-coding RNA (13353 nucleotides) under Cicer arietinum (chickpea). RNAcentral's name for it is "long non-coding RNA (CARI_LNC001060)". Lineage: Eukaryota; Viridiplantae; Streptophyta; Magnoliopsida; Fabales; Fabaceae. The record is from RNAcentral.